This 404-nucleotide ribosomal RNA is filed under the name uncultured bacterium. RNAcentral describes it as "partial 16S ribosomal RNA". It matches the Rfam family "Bacterial small subunit ribosomal RNA", at positions 28 to 525 of the family's 1533-position model. The record is from RNAcentral.
GACGAACGCUGGCGGCGUGCUUAACACAUGCAAGUCGAGCGGAGCGGCGAACGGGUGAGUAACGCGUGAGUAACUGCCCCCCUCUCUGGGAUGACAGUUGGAAACGGCUGCUAAUACCGGAUAGUGGGGGAUGACUCGCGUCCUAUCAGCUUGUUGUUGGGGUAGUGGCCUACCAAGGCGACGACGGGUAGCCGGCCUGAGAGGGCGACCGGACACAUUGUGCUGGGAUACCGCCCAAACUCCUACUGGAGGCAGCAGUGCGGAAUAUUUCACAAUGUGGGAAACCCUGAUGCAGCAACGCCGCGUGCGGGAUUACGGCCUUCGGGUUGUAAACCGCUUUCAGCCAUGACGCGGUAGUGGCAGAAGAAGCACCGGCUAAUUACGUGCCAGCCGCCGCGGUAAUA